ACUUAUAUAAUAUAUUAAGUAUUCAUGAUUUCCAAUCAUGCUGAUUAAAAUUAUAAAUUUAAUAUAAGUA
This 70-nucleotide transfer RNA is filed under the name Himalopsyche eos. RNAcentral's name for it is "tRNA-Gly". The record is from RNAcentral. Lineage: Eukaryota; Metazoa; Arthropoda; Insecta; Trichoptera; Rhyacophilidae.